CCAACGGCCCUUUUCAGGGCCACCGAAAAUUCCGAUCAAUUUUCAA
This is a non-coding RNA of Aedes albopictus (Asian tiger mosquito), 46 nucleotides long. NCBI's taxonomy places the organism in Eukaryota, Metazoa, Arthropoda, Insecta, Diptera, Culicidae. The record is from Rfam.